ACAAGCGGUGGAGCAUGUGGUUUAAUUCGAUGAUACGCGAGGAACCUUACCUGGGCUCAAAUGUAUGUUGACGUAUUCUGAAAGGGAUACUUCUUCGGACAAUAUACAAGGUGCUGCAUGGUUGUCGUCAGCUCGUGCCGUGAGGUGUCGGGUUAAGUCCCAUAACGAGCGCAACCCCUAUCAUUAGUUGCCAUCAGGUCAAGCUGGGGACUCUAAUGAAACUGCCUACGCAAGUAGUGAGGAAGUGGGGAUGACGUCAAAUCAGCACGGCCCUUACGUCCAGGGCUACACACGUGCUACAAUGGCCGAUACAGAGGGCAGCUACCUGGUGACAGGAUGCAAAUCUCCAAAGUCGGUCUCAGUUCGGAUCGGAGUCUGCAACCCGACUCCGUGAAGUUGGAUUCGCUAGUAAUCGCGCAUCAGCCAUGGCGCGGUGAAUACGUUCCCGGGCCUU
Molecule: ribosomal RNA, 454 nt
Filed under: uncultured Sphingobacteriales bacterium
Lineage: Bacteria; Pseudomonadati; Bacteroidota; Sphingobacteriia; Sphingobacteriales
Description: bacterial SSU rRNA
Rfam family: Bacterial small subunit ribosomal RNA
Source: RNAcentral